Molecule: ribosomal RNA, 148 nt
Filed under: uncultured archaeon
Lineage: Archaea
Description: partial 16S ribosomal RNA
Rfam family: Archaeal small subunit ribosomal RNA
Source: RNAcentral
UACGGGGAGCAGCAGGCGCGAAAACUUUACAAUGCGGGCAACCGUGAUAAGGGAACCUCGAGUGCCUGUAUAUGCAGGCUGUCCAGGUGUCUAAAAAACACCUGAAGAAAGGGCCGGGCAAGACCGGUGCCAGCCGCCGCGGUAAUAC